Molecule: ribosomal RNA, 455 nt
Filed under: Heterorete sp. HURL P4-224-sp1
Lineage: Eukaryota; Metazoa; Porifera; Hexactinellida; Sceptrulophora; Euretidae
Description: partial 16S ribosomal RNA
Rfam family: Archaeal large subunit ribosomal RNA (bases 1-189)
Source: RNAcentral
UUCGACUGUUUACCAAAAACAUAGCUAUGAGAAAAAAUUAUCCCUAGUGUCACCUGCUCAAUGAUUGAACAAUAAUCACAAAACAACAAUUAAAUAGCCGCGGUAACACCUGACCGUGCAAAGGUAGCAUAAUAAAUCGCCUACUAAUUAUAGGAUAGAAUGAAGGUAAAACGAAAACUCAACUGUCUCAAGAACCCAAAUUUAAAAUAGAAUGUGUGUGCAAAUCCUCACCAAAAAGGCUAGACGAUAAGACCCUAGGAACUAUACCCAAAACUUAAACACAAUACCCUUAAGUCAUAAGCUUCGUUGGGGCAACGAUCUUUCAAAAAGUAACUAAGACUAAAAAACUAAAUCCAAACAAAAAAAUAAAUACACUACNNUGAUAAAACCCACUACACACACAACAAAUAAUGACAAAAAAUAAAAGUUCCCUAGGGAUAACAGCGUUAUAUCGU